Molecule: long non-coding RNA, 1059 nt
Organism: Asparagus officinalis (garden asparagus)
Lineage: Eukaryota; Viridiplantae; Streptophyta; Magnoliopsida; Asparagales; Asparagaceae
Exons: 6
Source: RefSeq, a predicted model, not a curated record
AUCUUUUUAGCUUCAGAUUGCAACCCUCGGUCACUGACAAAGCAUAUACCAAACCUGGCAUCCUCAAGAAAUGCCCCCCUAAUCUCCAUCAAAGAUAACAAAGGAGGGUCCAUAAGGUUAGGUGAAUUGGUGAGCCUAAAAACAGCUGUGGCUAUUGGAAUAAAGCAGAGGUCAGAGGAAGCAGUAUCAACACGACAGUAAAUGAACAUAUCUGAUGCCCUUUCUUAGUGUAGUGGGGGAGGUCACUUGUCCACUGUGUAGCUGGAGUAAUUUAUCAGAGUUUGACUAUUUAUCACAAUUUGAUUUUUGGACAGCAUAAAAGCAGGCUGCGUAAACACAACAUGGCACAAAGUAAAGAAAAACUCAGAAGCCACUCAAAGCAAACGCCAACCUCAGCCUGGCUCCUCAACAGUUCAUUAUCUCUCUUUUUCUUUCUUCUUUUUAUCUGUCCUCUUUCUAAUUAAAGGUAGUAUUUUAUUUGGUUUGUUUUAACCGAACAGGUCAAUUUCAAGCUGUUAAGAAUGAGACAAGCUUGGUGAUCUCCUAAAAAAUCUCCGCAGGAGCAUAGAGUUGGAAAAAGCUAGGAAAGGGGAGGAAUUGCCAGAUAAAAUUUGGAUGAAGGAGAAUGUCUGAAAGAGAAAAUCUUGAUGAAGAUGAUAGCAUUAAAAGACCUCUUAGAAGAAAUCCAUUGGUUCCACUCCAGCUGAUCUUUGCUAGAAUCUGGUGCUAGGCUGCUUGAGUGAGAAGUUCCCAUGGCUGCCACAGAGAGACCCUCCAAUAGAACCUGCAGUAGGGAUUGAGAUCAGCAAUGUGCUAGUCCAGGAUUACUUUGAUAACGACUGAUUAGACUUACGACAUAAGCUAUAUCAGGUAUGGUGCACAAUAUUGCAUACAUCAAGCUUCCAAUUGCUUGAGCAUAAUGAACAUCUAAUGGCUUUUUCCCCUCUCUAGGGCUUUGUUAUUUACAUAAUCUCUUUCCCAUGACCAACGGAGUUGGCGCCGGAUUGUAAUUCUCCUUUCCAAACCUUUUAAGAACUGGUUUUAAAUAUUUUUCUUGGU